RNAcentral lists this non-coding RNA (30 nucleotides) under Homo sapiens (human). Lineage: Eukaryota; Metazoa; Chordata; Mammalia; Primates; Hominidae. The record is from RNAcentral.
UAGCCACCCAUUGACUUAGGAUCUCUGCAU